This is a long non-coding RNA of Patella vulgata (common limpet), 842 nucleotides long. RefSeq lists it as uncharacterized. The record is from RefSeq and is a predicted model, not a curated record. The transcript is spliced from 3 exons. Lineage: Eukaryota; Metazoa; Mollusca; Gastropoda; Patellidae.
AUUACAGUAGAAUUAUUGUCUAUAUAUUAUUAUGAAAUGCUUAACACCCGGAUGUCUGUAUAUAAGUAGUUAAUAAGUGGUCGUCGUAUAACUUCAGAGUUUAAUGAUAUAGAUUUAUCUGGAAAACAAACUGAAUAUUACAUCUCAUUAAGAAUGGAUUGUUCUCAACAAUAUAAUUGCCAUGAAGAUGACCAAACAGCGAAGAAAGCCUUAUUCAUUUUCAACAUUGCCAUCAGCUCUGUUUUAGUGUUCGGAUAUAUUUUUCAUGUUUAUUUUUUAAGUAAAAUAAACGUCAAGGAUGUGGAAUGGCAGAAGAAGAUUUUAGUGUUAUGUUUAAUUUGUUUUAUUGUGUUAGUUUUGGUCGUGCUGAUUCAAGCCGUGAUCAAAUUGUCGGUGAUAUUCUACGGUUUCCUAACAGCUUUGUCGAUGCUUGGAUAUGUACUGUGGGGAGUGUUGCUUUUUAUCGGCUUACAAUGGAGACAGAUCGAGAUUGAAACAAGACAUGAUAAUUAUGAAAAACAGAUUCUUGUAUAAUGUUUACUGUUAGAGAAUAACGUCCGUGGAGCCAUAUAUUAUAUAGAUCCAGAAUAUUGAUUGGAAAAAGACAUUUAAUUUAUGCGAACGCCAAAUGACAAUAUGUUUUCAAUGAAUCGAACUAGCAUUAAACUUUACGAUGAGGGGAAUUUUCAUUAGAUCUACUACUUUAGUAUCUAAAAGACUUCCAAGUAUCAGUUUCAAAUUCAAAUCGAAGAUUGUGUUUUGCUUUCACUUUAACAUGUUAUCAUUAGUUUAAUAUUUUUUAAUUCUGAAACCAAAGAAAUAAAGAUAGCACACUUUUAUAA